GACAGAGGGUGCAACCGUUGUUCGGAAUUACUGGGCGUAAAGCGCGUGUAGGCGGCUAAGUAAGUCGGGCGUGAAAUCCCACGGCUCAACCGUGGAAGUGCACUCGAAACUGCAUAGCUAGAGUCCUGGAGAGGAAGGUGGAAUGCUUGGUGUAGAGGUGAAAUUCGUAGAUAUCAGGUGGAACACCAGUGGCGAAGGCGGCUUUCUGGACGGUAACUGACGCUGAGACGCGAAGGCGUGGGGAGCAAACAGG
Molecule: ribosomal RNA, 253 nt
Filed under: uncultured bacterium
Lineage: Bacteria
Description: partial 16S ribosomal RNA
Rfam family: Bacterial small subunit ribosomal RNA
Source: RNAcentral